GACGAACGCUGGCGGCGUGCUUAACACAUGCAAGUCGAACGGAAAGGCCCUGCUUUUGUGGGGUGCUCGAGUAGCGAACGGGUGAGUAACACGUGAGUAACCUGCCCUUGACUUUGGGAUAACUUCAGGAAACUGGGGCUAAUACCGGAUAGGAGCUCCUGCUGCAUGGUGGGGGUUGGAAAGUUUCGGCGGUUGGGGAUGGACUCGCGGCUUAUCAGUUUGUUGGUGGGGUAGUGGCUUACCAAGGCUUUGACGGGUAGCCGGCCUGGGGGGGGGACCGGCCAAAUUGGGACGGAGAUACGGCCAAGACUCCUACGGGAGGCAGCAGGGGGGAUUAUUGCACAAGGGGCGGAAGCCGGAUGCAGCAAGGCCGCGUGCGGGAUGACGGCCUUCGGGUGGUAACCCGUUUUCGCCGGUGACGAAGCGGGAGUGACGGUAAUGGGUAAAGAAGCACCGGCUAACUACGUG
RNAcentral lists this ribosomal RNA (468 nucleotides) under uncultured bacterium. RNAcentral's name for it is "partial 16S ribosomal RNA". It matches the Rfam family "Bacterial small subunit ribosomal RNA", at positions 28 to 507 of the family's 1533-position model. The record is from RNAcentral.